GACCUCAGAAUCAACUGAAAAAUUUUUCUUUUUAUAACUGGAAAUAUCAAUAUAAAAAUCAUGAGUAGUCAAGUAAUCAAUAUUACAAUUCGUAUAAUCUACUGGUAUGAUUUCGUAUGCGUAAUUUAAUUGUAGCUUAACGUCUUUAAUAUUUUCACUAUCUGAUUUUACACUUCCGUACCCAUGAAAGAUUAUUAUAACUAAAAUUAUUGUUUUUAUUAUUCUUUUCAUACCUCUCCUCGUUCACCUCGUACCCCACAAACUACUUUAUCCUAAAAAACCAUAAAAUCAACAUUGAGGACUUUUUUGGUUCCCAUAAAUUGUUAACUAUGUCAUUUUAGAGCAAUCAUAUAGAGACUAAGAUAUAAUUUUACCAAAGUUUUGAAAGCUAUUGAAGAGUAUCUUGAUUUUGUCUAGGUUCUAAGCACCUGUAAGGGUGCUUUUUGUGCUUUAGCCAACCUCAUAGUCUAGUAAACCCUCACUGAAACAGUCCCUUAAAGUUCCACCACUGAUCUUGGAUGUUUUCGCUUAACCGCUGAUGCCAAGGUUUAUUAGCCUCUCUUUCGGUUUGUUUUUUAAACAUCUCUAGUGCAUCAUUUUCAAGAUCUUGUCUCUCUAGGUCAUCCUCAAUUUUCUUAAUUUCUUCUUCGUAUUGUUUGUCUUCUUUUAUGGAUAGUGAAUCUCUAUAGAAGCAGUAACCUGCUCCCCAAAAAUCUUCAUCUCUGAAUGUCAAAGUGACUCUCUCACCUUUUGUAAGUUGGGAUGAUAAUUUAAUAGUAUGUUGGGUACCAUAAGGUAAUCUUUUAGAAAAUUGACCUUCUUUAUUCUCUGAGCUAUUGCUUAAAGGUUUUUGUUCUCCAGAAUUAGAAAUGCUUGAUUUUGGUGAAUGUUCUCUAGAAAUUUUGACCGACCAAGCUUGAGGAAGCCAGACUUUGAUUUUAGAUUCUCCAACAGAAAAAUCUGAUACACUAACUUCUUUUACUUUUUCCUGUAAUCCAUCAAGUAUAAACUUAUUCUGUUCAUCCUCCGCUCUGACGCUACUAGUUACCCCGAUGGCAAAGAGUGCCAGU
RNAcentral lists this non-coding RNA (1070 nucleotides) under Streptococcus pyogenes. Lineage: Bacteria; Bacillati; Bacillota; Bacilli; Lactobacillales; Streptococcaceae. The record is from RNAcentral.